Molecule: ribosomal RNA, 263 nt
Filed under: uncultured Staphylococcus sp.
Lineage: Bacteria; Bacillati; Bacillota; Bacilli; Caryophanales; Staphylococcaceae
Description: partial 16S ribosomal RNA
Rfam family: Bacterial small subunit ribosomal RNA
Source: RNAcentral
CGGACGGGUGAGUAACACGUGGAUAACCUACCUAUAAGACUGGGAUAACUUCGGGAAACCGGAGCUAAUACCGGAUAAUAUAUUGAACCGCAUGGUUCAAUAGUGAAAGACGGUUUUGCUGUCACUUAUAGAUGGAUCCGCGCCGCAUUAGCUAGUUGGUAAGGUAACGGCUUACCAAGGCAACGAUGCGUAGCCGACCUGAGAGGGUGAUCGGCCACACUGGAACUGAGACACGGUCCAGACUCCUACGGGAGGCAGCAACA